GCUGUGUUUCCAUGUGUGUUAGUUAUCCAUGUCCCAGUUUAGUUUUGUUAUAUUUUUUGUGCCAUCCUGCAAUAAAGCAGCUUUUUGAGUUUAAUUCCUACGUGGUGAGUUUUACGUUUGGGUCCUUCUCCUGCCUGCACACAGCCGAAACAUGACACCAGCAUGUUGAGAUUGACACCAAAGGGGUCACUGUACGAGAUGGACAGACAGAAAGACAUCUCACUGGAAAGGAUCUCGUCACUGCUGGAAGUGUCACAGUGAGUAUACGCAACAAUAAAAUAGACAUUGCAGCAGGAGACAUGCGCCUGGUUGUUUUAGUUCAUGAGAAGAACAGCAUUAAAUUUCUUUGGCCAGUUUUAAGACAGCAUCCCUCGGCCAACAACACUGAUGGACUUUUAGUUAAAAGUCAGUGGUUUAUGAGGAGGUACAACAAGUUCCACCUACAAAACUAAAGAUUUAAAAACCAGGAGAUCAAUGUUACUAAUGGCAAUGCCAGUGACUAUAGCAUUGCCUCUCCUCUCAUGAUGAACUGCUGGCUCACAUCUGCUGACUCUGCCUUGCAGAGACCACUGGCCGAUUUCGUUGUUCCACAACUUUAACUGGAAACUGUGAGAAAAUAUUUCAUUUGAGAAGAGACUACGGAAAAUACUUGCAACACCUGUUUCCAGCAUGAACAAAUAAACAUAUCUUGGAUUGUU
This is a long non-coding RNA of Oreochromis aureus, 698 nucleotides long. RefSeq lists it as uncharacterized. The transcript is spliced from 4 exons. Lineage: Eukaryota; Metazoa; Chordata; Actinopteri; Cichliformes; Cichlidae. The record is from RefSeq and is a predicted model, not a curated record.